This 285-nucleotide unclassified non-coding RNA is filed under the name plant metagenome. Its description in RNAcentral is "partial contains small subunit ribosomal RNA, internal transcribed spacer 1, and 5.8S ribosomal RNA". The stretch from base 1 to 54 matches the Rfam family "Eukaryotic small subunit ribosomal RNA", at positions 1778 to 1831 of the family's 1831-position model. The record is from RNAcentral.
GGAAGUAAAAGUCGUAAUAAGGUUUCCGUAGGUGAACCUGCGGAAGGAUCAUUAUUGUAUAACCGAGGUGCGAGGGCUGUCGCUGACCCGAAAGGUCGUGCACGCCCGAGUGCCCUCACACACAUCCAUCUCACCCCUAUGUGCACCACCGCGUGGGUCCCCCUUUGGCUUGUUCGGAGGGGGGGCUUACGUUUUCACACAAACUUUGUAUGCAGUGUAGAAUGUAUUUUUUGUUUUGCGAUCACGCAAUCAAUACAACUUUCAACAACGGAUCUCUUGGCUCUC